AAAUUGUGCGGUUAACGGUCAAAGCCCCCCUGCCUACUUUGACACUCAUUUAAAGAUGACAGGGAACAAUAGAGAUUUGUUCUGUGCAACCCUUUCUUGUUAUGCCGGCGACAUCAGCUCCGCACAUGAAACUGCCCGAUAUUUCAUUCCACCUGCCACCUCCCUCCCGCCUCGGUCGACUCUCUCCUCUGCUACUUUGCUUGUUCCCACUUUAACACAAAGAGACAGCUCUGUGUUCACAGCACCUAACAGUGUUGAAAAAGAAUGUUAUUUAGAACCCGAGUUGAGACGUCACCUUUCCAGACCCAUAAUUGCUUCCUGGCUCACCAAACACAAACCAGAAAUUAAUGCUGCAAAGAGCAGAGACAAGAGAUUUCACUGUGUUAGCCAGGAUGGUCUCGAUCUCCUGACUUCAUGAUCCACCUGCCUCAGCCUCCCAAACUGCUGGGAUUACAGGCUUGAGCCACCGUGCCUGGCUUCAGGCUGGGAUUUUUAUAGCUUAUUAUGGCAAGGGAGGAGACAGAGAAUAAAAGACGAAGAAAGAGCAUACACAGUCACCCCUUGUGUAACAAAUAUGUAAGAAAUAAAGAUAAAUGUGUACAAUUCUUACAAUUUUACUUUUCUGAAUUUUGCUAUUGCACUGAAUGAUUUGUGAUAAGACAGAUGGGGAUGAAAAAUAUACUUAUUAAAUAAACAGCUAUUAAAAGCCCCUAAAGUUCUUUAAAAUGGGAUUUUUUUUAUUA
This is a long non-coding RNA of Cercocebus atys (sooty mangabey), 743 nucleotides long. RefSeq lists it as uncharacterized. The transcript is spliced from 3 exons. The record is from RefSeq and is a predicted model, not a curated record. NCBI's taxonomy places the organism in Eukaryota, Metazoa, Chordata, Mammalia, Primates, Cercopithecidae.